UACGUAGGGGGCGAGCGUUGUCCGGAUUCAUUGGGCGUAAAGCGCGCGUAGGCGGCUCCGCAAGUCGGCCGUGAAAUCUCCAGGCUCAACUUGGAGGGGUCGGGCGAGACUGCGGAGCUCGAGGUGGGCAGAGGGCAGUGGAAUUCCGGGUGUAGUGGUGGAAUGCGUAGAGAUCCGGAGGAACACCAGUGGCGAAGGCGGGUCUCUGGGCCGUAACUGACGCUGAGGAGCGAAAGCGUGGGGAGCGAACAGG
RNAcentral lists this ribosomal RNA (253 nucleotides) under uncultured bacterium. Its description in RNAcentral is "partial 16S ribosomal RNA". It matches the Rfam family "Bacterial small subunit ribosomal RNA", at positions 524 to 776 of the family's 1533-position model. The record is from RNAcentral.